CCCCUAGAUGUUCUGGGCCGCACGCGCGCUACACUGAACAGUUCAACAAGUCUUAACCUUGGCCGAUAGGUCUGGGUAAUCUUUGAACGCUGUUCGUGAUUGGGAUAGACCUUUGCAAUUAUGGGUCUUCAACGAGGAAUUCCUAGUAAACGCAAGUCAUCAGCUUGCAUUGAUUACGUCCCUGCCCUUUGUACACACCGCCCGUCGCACCUACCGAUUGAACGGUCCGGUGAAAUCUCGGGACGGCGGCUUGGUCGCUUGCGUCCGACUGCUGAAACUUGAUUAAACCAUAUCAUUUAGAGGAAGGUGAAGUCGUANCA
This 320-nucleotide ribosomal RNA is filed under the name uncultured eukaryote. Its description in RNAcentral is "partial 18S ribosomal RNA". It matches the Rfam family "Eukaryotic small subunit ribosomal RNA", at positions 1470 to 1796 of the family's 1831-position model. The record is from RNAcentral.